UACGAAGGGGGGUAGCGUUGUUCGGAAUUACUGGGCGUAAAGCGCGUGUAGGCGGGCCGUUAAGUCGGGGGUGAAAGCCCAGAGCUCAACUCUGGGAUUGCCCUCGAUACUGGCGGCCUGGAGCAUGAUAGAGGCGAGUGGAAUUGCCAGUGUAGAGGUGAAAUUCGUAGAUAUUCGCAGGAACACCAGUGGCGAAGGCGACUCGCUGGAUCAUUGCUGACGCUGAGACGCGAAAGCGUGGGGAGCACACAGG
RNAcentral lists this ribosomal RNA (253 nucleotides) under uncultured bacterium. RNAcentral's name for it is "partial 16S ribosomal RNA". It matches the Rfam family "Bacterial small subunit ribosomal RNA", at positions 524 to 776 of the family's 1533-position model. The record is from RNAcentral.